This is an RNA transcript of Brienomyrus brachyistius, 6818 nucleotides long. It is a transcript of the gene named calcium-dependent secretion activator 1-like, with no coding region annotated. The record is from RefSeq and is a predicted model, not a curated record. The transcript is spliced from 30 exons. NCBI's taxonomy places the organism in Eukaryota, Metazoa, Chordata, Actinopteri, Osteoglossiformes, Mormyridae.
GCCGGUCGCUGGAAGCGGGUCUUGGGAUUCAGCACCUCGGUCAGCUCCGCGUCCGCAGAGGCGUCCAUCCGCCUUCGCCUGGCAGGAAGCGGCCAUCGAUCGCCCUGUUUCAUUGACAGAGCCGAUCGCACUCAGCCUUGCCCCCCUCCCACUCUCUCCAUCCUUCCGCCCCUUUUCUCACCGAGUGCCUGAAAAAAGGGAGCAAACACGUAAGCAGAAACAACCUGGGUCUGUAGUGUGAGAGCCGCGUCUGAGCCAAAGCUCCUUCACCGUCGCUCGCACCGAUUCACCACAUCCUCCGAUUUUUUUUCCCGUGGGCUCCUUUCGUUGCUUGUCUUUUACCAUUUAUAAUAACCAUCGUUGGACUUUUUCGGCUGCUUUAUUUUACUCACAUUGGAGCGGCGCUCUAAUCUAAAUAUCCAGAUUUAACUGCCUAUAUAGGUAACCUUUACUCAAAGGCAGGAUGUUGGAUCCGUCAUCCAGCGAGGAGGAAUCAGAUGGGAUAGUGGAGGAAGAAAGCAAAGAGGUGAUGGCACCCCAGGCCGGCUCCCGAAUUUCCCCGAGCCGGACCAGCGAGAGCUCGGGUGGGCUGCAGCCCGGUAGCCGGGGAAGCAGCGCCCGUCCGUCCAGCCCGAGCCCCUCGGCCGUGAGCGAGCAGGAAAAAGAGGAGGUGGAGAAGCUGCAUAGAGAGGAAGAGGAGCGGAAGAAGAAAUUGCAGCUCUAUGUAUUUGUAAUGCGGUGCGUCGCUUAUCCUUUCAAUGCAAAGCAGCCGACCGACAUGGCCAGACGGCAGCAGAAGAUAACCAAGCAGCAGCUUCAGACGGUGAAAGAUCGUUUCCAGGCCUUCUUGAAUGGAGAGACGCAGAUUGUUGCGGAUGAAGCCUUCAUCAAUGCAGUGCAGAGCUUCUACGAGGUGUUCCUGAAGAGUGACCGCGUGACACGCAUGGUGCAGAGCGGCGGCUUCUCGGCCAACGACUGCCGCGAGGUCUUCAAGAAGCACAUUGAAAAGCGUGUGCGUAGCCUGCCGGAGAUCGACGGCCUCAGCAAGGAGACGGUGCUCAGCUCCUGGAUGGCCAAGUUCGACACCAUCUACCGGGGUGAUGAGGACCCGCGCAAGCAGCAGCAGCGCAUGACGGCCAGCGCCGCAUCCGAGCUCAUCCUCAGCAAGGAUCAGCUCUACGAGAUGUUCCAGCAGAUCCUGGGCAUCAAGAAAUUUGAGCACCAACUUCUCUACAACGCCUGUCAGCUGGACAACUUAGAUGAACAAGCUGCCCAAAUAAGAAGAGAGUUGGAUGGACGACUACAAAUGGCGGAUCAGAUUGCAAGAGCUGGGAAGUUUCCCAAGUUUGUGUCCAAAGAAAUGGAGGCCAUGUACAUCGAGGAGCUGAAGGCUUCAGUCAACCAGCUGAUGGCCAACCUGGAAAGCAUGCCGGUGUCUAAGGGUGGGGAGUUUAAACUGCAGAAGCUGAAAAGAGGUCACAAUACCUCCAUCAUCGACAUGGGCCAGGAAGAUGAGAACCAGCUCUCCAAGUCUGACGUGGUGCUCUCUUUCACCUUGGAGGUUGUAAUAAUGGAGGUUCAGGGCCUGAAGUCUCUGGCUCCCAACCGCAUUGUCUACUGUACCAUGGAAGUGGAGGGGGGUGAGAAACUGCAGACCGAUCAGGCAGAGGCCUCCAAACCGACCUGGGGCACUCAAGGGGACUUCACUACAACACACCCACUUCCUGUGGUCAAGGUGAAGCUUUUCACAGAGAGUACAGGGGUGCUGGCGCUGGAGGACAAGGAGCUGGGAAGGGUUGUCCUGCAUCCAACGCCCAACAGUCCCAAGCAGUCCGAGCUACAUAAAAUGAGUCUGACGAAGGCGUGCCCUGACCACGACCUGAAGAUCAAGUUGGCCAUCCGCAUGGACAAGCCACAGAAUAUGAAGCAUUGUGGGUACCUGUGGGCAUUUGGGAAAAAUGUUUGGAAGCGGUGGAAAAAGCGGUACUUCGUCUUAGUGCAGGUGAGCCAGUACACCUUUGCCAUGUGCAGCUACCGGGAGAAGAAGGCAGAACCUCAGGAGCUGCUUCAGCUGGAUGGCUAUACGGUGGACUACACUGACCCCCAGCCAGGCCUGGAUGGUGGGAGGGCUUUCUUCAACGCAGUGAAGGAGGGAGACACUGUGAUAUUUGCCAGCGACGACGAGCAAGACCGCAUCCUGUGGGUUCAGGCUAUGUACCGGGCCACUGGGCAGUCCCACAAACCUGUCCCACCCACCCAGGUGCAGAAGCUCAACGCCAAGGGAGGCGCAGCACCCCAGAUGGACGCACCCAUUUCCCAGUUCUAUGCGGACAGAGCUCAGAAACAUGGGAUGGAUGAGUUUAUCUCCGCUAACCCCUGUAGCUUUGACCACGCCUCCCUUUUCGAGAUCUUACAGCGGCUUACGCUGGAUCACAGGCUCAAUGACACCUUUUCAUGUCUGGGAUGGUUCAGUCCAGGACAGGUGUUUGUGCUGGAUGAGUACUGCGCCCGCAAUGGUGUGCGGGGCUGCCAUAGACACCUGCAUUAUCUGGGGGACCUGCUGGAGCGUGCUGAGAACGGGGCCAUGAUCGACCCCACCCUGCUGCACUACAGCUUUGCCUUCUGCGCCUCUCAUGUCCAUGGUAACAGGCCAGAUGGAUUAGGAACCGUCAAGGUGGAUGAGAAGGAACGGUUUGAGGAUAUCAAAGAGAAGUUGCGUGUGUUUCUGGAGGACAAGAUCACUAACUUCAGAUAUAGCUUUCCAUUCGGCCGUCCCGAAGGAGCCCUGAAAGCUACUUUGUCUUUACUAGAAAGGGUCCUUAUGAAAGAUAUUGUGACCCCAGUGCCACAGGAAGAGGUGAAAGGUGUGAUUCGCAAAUGUCUGGAACAGGCCGCUUUGCUUAACUACCAGCGCAUCACUGAAUACGCCAAAAUUGAAGUUGAGAAAGAUCAAAAGGAUCAGAAGGAUCCAGAUAACGCAGCUCGAUUAGCCACUCCUGCCAAGAGACUGGAAGACACGAUCCGUAUGGCAGAGUUAGUCAUUGAAGUACUUCAACAAAAUGAGGAUCACCACGCCGAGGCUGCAGUCACAAGUACAGGAGAUCAAUCGGCCUUUGCAUGGUGGUCCGACUUGAUGGUGGAACACGCUGAGCACUUCUUGUCGCUCUAUGCUGUGGACAUGGAUUCUGCCCUGGAGAUACAGUCCCCAGAAAGCUGGGACAGCUUUCCACUCUUCCAGCUGCUUAACGACUUCCUCCGGAUCGACUGCCACCUGUGCAACGGGAAGUUCCACAAACACCUGCAGGACCUCUAUGCCCCGCUUGUGGUUAAAUAUGUGGACCUCAUGGAGUCUUCCAUUGCACAGUCUAUACAUAAGGGCUUUGAUCGCGAGUCGUGGGAGCCCGUGAAGAGUUUAACAAGUAAUCUGCCCAAUGUGAAUCUGCCAAAUGUGAACCUCCAAAUUCCCAAAGUACCAAAUCUGCCGGUCCCAGUAGCAGGACUGUCAGUUAACCUCCCACAAAUGCCUAGCUUUUCCACUCCAUCAUGGAUGGCCUCUAUAUAUGACUCUGACAAUGGUUCUGGGACCACAGAGGACCUCUUCUGGAAGCUGGAUGCCUUGCAGACCUUCAUCCGGGACCUACACUGGCCUGAGGAAGAGUUUGCCAAACACCUGGACAACCGUAUGAAGCUAAUGUCCAGUAACAUGAUUGAAUCCUGCGUGAAACGCACGAGGGCUGCCUUCGAGUCGAAGCUCCAGAAGAGCAGCAAGACGACAGAUUUCCGCAUCCCACAGUCAAUAUGCACUAUGUUCAACGUGAUGGUGGACGCCAAGGACCAGUCUGCCAAGCUGUGCGCCAUGGAGAUGGGCCAGGAGAAACAGCAGCAUUCCAAAAUCGACUCUCUCAUCGAAGAUUCCGUUAAGGAGAUGAUUACCCUCCUGGUGGCCAAGUUUGUAACCAUUCUGGAAAGUGUCUUGGCGAAGCUGUCCAGAUACGACGAAGGCACUCUCUUUUCGUCCUUCUUGUCUUUCACAGUAAAAGCCGCCUCGAAGUAUGUGGAUGUUCCCAAGCCCGGGAUGGACGUGGCGGACGGAUACGUGACCUGUGUGCGCCACUCACAGGACAUGCUCCGAGAAAAGGUCAAUGAGGAGGUGUACAUAGAAAGGUUAUUUGAUCAUCCAAUCCCAGCUCUGCAUGCAGAACCCACCCAAAGCAACAGUGUGAAGUGGACCGGCACCAACAUGGGUCUGCCCAAUUCUGUUCCCACGGUGACGCCUGCCCAGGGACUGGCAGGCCCUGAUCCAAAUUCUCUCAACUACAGCCUCUUCACUUCACGAUACCAAAAAUUGUUUAUGAUUAUAAUUUUUUUUUCUUUUGAAAAAUAUUACAGUAUGCUUUCACUCCAUGUGCUGUUAUCUUUAAACUGUGAUUUUUAAAUCAAAAUAGCAGGGCACACCGGUCGAAUAACAGAAGCAGUGUCUUAUAAUGCACAACAUCGGCCAGAAAGGAAUCAGUUCUGUGUGAUGAAACAGUCUGAGAAAACAGCACAACUCCUUGUUGCCUGCUAAACCAUUUCUGCACUUUCUCAUUUGGAAUUUGAUUUAAAUCAUUAAUACCUUCCAGUAGCACUAAUUGGAUUCAACCUAUAUUUGUAAUAGUAGCUCAUACACAUCUGAAGUUUGUUUACUUAAUACUCACUAAAUAUAAUGAAGAUAGGAAGAUUUGUAGCUAUAUAUGAGCAUUUAUGACUGAAUCCUUUGACAAAAUCCUGAUUAAUUCAACAUCUACAGAACACUCUUGUUAAGAUAAAAAGCCUCAUUGUCAGCUGUGGGUAAGUCUAAUGAUACAAUAACACUAUAACAACUAUAUUAACCAGCAGAUGAUCGCUUUGGUAGCUUAUCGUAUUAAUGGGGUGGUGUUUAUGAUGGAGUGGGGGAUUGUUGGACCUGUGUGGUACUGUGGUUGUGCAGGCAUGGUCGGUGGUCUUUGUGUGGCACCACACUGCAAACUCACUAACUUUGCAUAAUGCAUCUUGUCAGUAAUUUAACACAUAUUUAGUGAAUUGAUGGCAAAGACAAAAAUCAUCUGAAUGCUGCUUGGCUGCAAUUUUUCUGAACGAGAGGAGGAGUACAAACUAGAUAAUUCAAGGUCAGGUAAACCGGAAUGGAAAUAAUCAUCUGCUGUGGUCAGGGGGAGGGGCCAUGCUGAAGGGGAACAGCAGCUGUAAAGGUAGCUGCCCAGGACCAAAUCCAUACAUCUAACGGAGAGAUGACCUGACUUCUGACCCAGUAACGGCUCCUGCAGCUGCCUGUAGACAAGGAUAAUCUGCAUGGCUGAGUCUCCAUGCUGACAGCAGGAGUAAACAAAGAAAGUCAAACUAUUCAACAGAAAGUCAGCUUGUCAAUGGUACCGUCCUGUCUAAUGAUUUUUUUUUCUCUCUUAGAAUAUGCUGGGUGACAUUUUGCCUCUAACCUAAUUCUUGCCAUUCUGUUUCUAACAAAACAAACUUGUCUUUUGUGUGACUGCAUGUUUGUUCAGAAAUAGUCUUUAGUUAGACCUGUAUUAGUCUUUUUAGUGUCAUUAAAGCAUAGGCACACAGUCAGCAAACAGUAACCUAUGAUGUGUAAAUGUGUUUAUUGCUAUAUGUGCUGCUUUAUUAUUGCUGUGCCGAAACAGAGAGUGUUUUCAUGAAGUAUAGUUUCUUCCUUUAUACUUUUUCUUAUGUGAGAUUUAUUUGAGCUGUUAUGUGAGAUUACAGUACUUGUCCACAGACUUUUUUUGCCAUUUUGCCGCACGAUGCAGACUUGUCUGCACUCUGAUAUCAAACUCUGAAUGGUGAAAAAGUCCAUAUUUUUAAAAUGGCUAAAUAUUUUUUAGCAGUGUUAUUUUCAUUAUUUCAUGGUGGAAUAGUUGGUGGCACUGUUGCUUCAUGCCUUUAGAACUAGAAUUUUAGUUUGUUUGUUUGUUUGUUUGUUUAUUAGUUAACUUACUUUUAAUAAUAUAUCCUUCACAGAAUCUGAACGCUGAGUUGCUAUGAAAACACCUCUUCAGGACUGUACCCUUGAAGGACUAAAACUAUGCUAACAGUACUAAGUAUACUAACCGGCCGGCCUGUAGGAAUAAUUAUAAGGUCACCCACUUUCUUCCGUAUAUUUGAUCAGGUGAUCCAUCUCUGUGGAUACAAAGCGGAGUGGUGUUCGCUGGGUAACGUCGAUGGCAGACUCCAGUCUUUAAAAAAACUGCAGGGAAACUUAAGGAGAGAUCAUUCAAGCCUCCCUGGAUUUGUAGGUUGGAUGAGAGAGUUCAGUCACAGCCGCUGUUUGGGCUAUGCAACACUUCUGAGAAGAGCGCCGCUACUUCAUUGUCCAAAAGCUCAACAAAUACCCUUAAUCAGAGACUGUAUUCAUUGUCGUAAUGGGACUUCCCCCAUCAAGUUUUAAUUGGAUUAAAGACAAGGUGUAAAUUAGUUAAUAUAACCCUAGUAACUUCCCAUCUUUCAAUUUCGAUAAAAUUUUUUCCAGCUUGACUUAAUGCAUAUCCAGAUAAAUGAGACCAUAAGACCAAUCCCGUUGUUCCCCAUUUGUCCUACUGCUUGUUUGUGUCCGUAUUCCAUCUCUCAGUGUACGUGUCUGUGUGUGUUGCUGGAGAACGCUGUCUGUCUGUCUUUCAGCAAUGGUACACGGGCACCAUGAAUCUCCUGGGAACCUGGCUCACUGACCGCAUGGACCUUCAGCUCCAUGUCUAUCAGCUUAAAAUUCUUAUCAGGAUUGUCAAGAAAACGUACAGGGAUUUCCGUCUGCAAGGAGUGCUUGACUCGAC